RNAcentral lists this ribosomal RNA (270 nucleotides) under uncultured archaeon. Its description in RNAcentral is "partial 16S ribosomal RNA". It matches the Rfam family "Archaeal small subunit ribosomal RNA", at positions 477 to 747 of the family's 1478-position model. The record is from RNAcentral.
CAGCACCUCAAGUGGUCAGGAUGAUUAUUGGGCCUAAAGCAUCCGUAGCCGGCGCUGUAAGUUUUCGGUUAAAUCUGUACGCUCUACGUACAGGCUGCCGGGAAUACUGCAGCGCUAGGGAGUGGGAGAGGUAGACGGUACUCGGUAGGAAGGGGUAAAAUCCUUUGAUCUAUUGAUGACCACCUGUGGCGAAGGCGGUCUACCAGAACACGUCCGACGGUGAGGGAUGAAAGCUGGGGGAGCAAACCGGAUUAGAUACCCGAGUAGUCC